Molecule: non-coding RNA, 481 nt
Organism: Peromyscus maniculatus bairdii (prairie deer mouse)
Lineage: Eukaryota; Metazoa; Chordata; Mammalia; Rodentia; Cricetidae
Source: RefSeq, a predicted model, not a curated record
GAAACUGUUUCUAUGCGUUCCCCGGGUUUACCCUUUACUGACUUAAGUACUGAAGGCUUGGACUGGUUUAAACCAGUCACAUGCGGAGACUGAAUGCGCGCGGGCCUCCCCGCCACUGGCCGAUCCUGUGCUGCCCCUGAACGUUUUCGGGGACCUUCCUUGGCCAAGCCUUUCCCGAGGCCCCUUAGUAAAAUGAGGAGUCAUCUAUUCGUUCCGCGGUGAUUGAGGGCUUGCUAGAUAGAGCCUCACGCUACAACCAAGCUGGCCUCAAUCUAGAAAUCUUCUUGCCUCUACCUCCCGAGUCCUGAGAUUAUAGGCAUAUAUCACCAUGGCUGACUGCUUCUUUAUUUUCCGUACAUGGAACUCUGCAUCCUGACUUUUGUGUACACUGCAUUUGAAAUCACUGCUCCAAAAGUCUCCAGUGCCUAGCAUGUAGUUAAACUCAUAUGGUUUUGGAAACUGUGAUUAAACCUUAGCUUGA